GACAGGAGGAGCAAGCGUUAUUCAGCUUGAUUGGGUUUAAAGGGAGCGUAGGCCGUCUGUUAAGCGUGUUGUGAAAUGUAGAUGCUCAACAUCUGAAUUGCAGCGCGAACUGGCAGACUUGAGUGUGCGCAACGUAGGCGGAAUUCGUAGUGUAGCGGUGAAAUGCUUAGAUAUCACGAAGAACUCCAAUUGCGAAGGCAGCUUACGGGAGCACAACUGACGCUGAAGCUCGAAAGUGCGGGUAUCGAAC
Molecule: ribosomal RNA, 250 nt
Filed under: uncultured bacterium
Lineage: Bacteria
Description: partial 16S ribosomal RNA
Rfam family: Bacterial small subunit ribosomal RNA
Source: RNAcentral